Nannospalax galili (Upper Galilee mountains blind mole rat) is the source of this 129-nucleotide small nucleolar RNA. The record is from Ensembl. Lineage: Eukaryota; Metazoa; Chordata; Mammalia; Rodentia; Spalacidae.
AAGACUAGAGUCACAUCUUGACAUGAUUACUUGUCCUGGUGUGCCAGAGUUCUCAAAGAGGAUCUGCUGGUCUUGGUUCACUGGUCGGGGCAGUCAGUACCCCUAUUGGUGCCCUGAUCAGAAACAUCC